UUUUUAGGAUAAGUAUGCUCCAUGCCAUAUUUGGGACAUGCUUAUACUAAAA
Molecule: non-coding RNA, 52 nt
Organism: Myotis lucifugus (little brown bat)
Lineage: Eukaryota; Metazoa; Chordata; Mammalia; Chiroptera; Vespertilionidae
Source: Rfam